Molecule: non-coding RNA, 1099 nt
Organism: Cyanistes caeruleus (blue tit)
Lineage: Eukaryota; Metazoa; Chordata; Aves; Passeriformes; Paridae
Source: RefSeq, a predicted model, not a curated record
ACCUUGGUACUUCAGCCAAAAACUUUUCUGCCUUAGCAGGCCUCAUGACAAUGCUCUCCUUCACUCCACCCCCAGGCUGGCACACAUGUUGUGUACUUAUGGUUGGAAUAUGCUUUCAUCCUUGUUCUUCUAAAUGUCCAUUUGAACCUGAGCUAUCCAGCUUUUCUUUUAAACUGCAGGUUUGCUUUCCUGACUUUAUGGGCGUGGCUUUGCAUGAAGGCUGUGGCUUAAACUGUGUCAGAUGUGGUGGAGCCAAUGCUGACCAUCAGUCUGCGAAUAUUUAAACUGGAUUCGACAUAUACGAAGAUCAGAUGGCUGAGCCCAUAGCAACCAUUCUGCUGGCUGUCAAAUUGAUGACAAGGGUGAGAAAUGCAAACCCUUCUAACUGGCCCUCCCUGCACUGUUUUUCUCUUGACAAAAUUGCCUUCUGCACUUGCUUUACUGUUUUACUGAGUUUUGUUUGUGCUCAUUACAGUUUUUCCCAAAAAAAAAAACUAGGAAUGUUUUUCCACAUAUAAGUCCAGGUUCAGUUCUUUUAUCUAAAGGUUGUGGAACCGAAGAGCUGUUUGUGACACCACCUGUAAUGAAAGUGAGUGGAUGACAAUAUUAAAGGUGGUCAGAAUGCCACUCAGCAAAGCUUGGACUACUCUGGUGAACUGGGUGAUGGAAGCAGCUACCUGGAAGUGUGGUUGCAUCUUUACCAAGGAGCGUGCUGAUGUAAGGGCUUCCAGGAAUGGAUGAGACAUGUGGUCAUCCUGGAGCAUGUGUGCCAAAAGCAGUCCUACAUGGCCACGGCAAAAGCCUUACACUCAAUUCAUGUUGUGGACAUAUCAAGAUGGCCAAAGGUUCAGCGUGCUGACUUCCAGCAAGGGAAACCAGCUGCAGGGACAUCACAGGUAACUGUCCAUUGUACAAAUAUCCCAAUAUUUGGUGUAUCAGGACACACCCCAAAGAGUUUUGAUCACAAUCCCAGCAAUUGCUUGUGCAACAGAAAGGCUCUUCAGCUUCUCAGAUAUGAUUAAGAUGGGCUGUGUGAACAAGGAGUGUGAUGAUUCACUUACACGUGUUGUCAGUUGAACAAAGUCCUGUGUGUCUGUGU